This is a long non-coding RNA of Gadus chalcogrammus (walleye pollock), 1157 nucleotides long. RefSeq lists it as uncharacterized. The record is from RefSeq and is a predicted model, not a curated record. NCBI's taxonomy places the organism in Eukaryota, Metazoa, Chordata, Actinopteri, Gadiformes, Gadidae. The transcript is spliced from 4 exons.
GAGCGCAUAGCCUCCCCCCACUGUCGGAUGUCAGAGAAAGUGAAACUUCCUCGACACGGCCUCGGCUCAGUUGCCGACCACAUACAUUAAACGCAAUGACAGAGCCAGAGCUAACCGUGGUGACAGUGAUGUGUAGGAAGGAAUAACAACGGCCACCGAGGAGCUGAGGCAAGGGAUAGAAAAAAAAGAAAGAAUAGUCCACGGAAAGGCAGCCGAAAGACAGAUGUGAGGUAGCUGGUGGCUCAACGCUGUCAAACAUAGAUGGAGGCAGGUUGCCAGAUUCCGAGGGACCAAUCGUGGAGGCUCCCUGAUAUUCAAAGGCAUCCUGUCAACGAGAACCAGACCUGCCUUCCCCAGUACUGUUGAGGCUGAAGGCUCUUGAAACGACAAAGGUCAGAGUGGAUAUACGUGCGGAGGCGGAGCGCACUGCGGCCCAUCUCUGGCAACACGUCCUCGUCGAUGUCAGCCGCGUCGAAGACAAAGCGCGGCGGAGAGGCAAAGUGACACCAGCGAUCGCCACGUCCCCCUCCCUCCCUCCCCGUCUAAUCUCCGGGGACGGCUGUUGCUGCCACGCCGAGGCUUGUUGAUGUCUCGUCGCGCAUGGCUGCCUUGUUUCGCUCCGGAGUUGGCCUUCAGAAUCAGCGCAGAGGUAUGAUUCUCCCCAGCGUGGACGUUUUUAUUUUUAGGCUAAGGGGGAUCGGUGUUACUUCUGGUUCUGUGUUUUUAUCACGAUCCGAAAGAGUUAGUUUAAAAGAGUUGUUUCGUGUGAAAAGCAAGAGAGAAAUCUACUCAAAUAUUGAGUUCCUUGGGUUUACACAUGGGCGUCAGCUUGGUUUGAAAUGUGCUGGGGACAGAGACCCAUUCGGAAGUGCAUUUUCAAAAGUGCUGGGUACAAUGAGGACGCACUCUUUUUUUCUCUCUUGAGUGCCGGUAAUGAAAGGUUCUGAAAGACGGCAUACCUAUGUAGUUAUUACUAAGGAAUAAAAUGUCUACAUAAUCUGUCUGACAAGUUUUAUGAAGAAAACGUUUCCAAAAAUCAUCGGACAUAUGACCCACUAUGUUCUGCUCCAUGUAUCCAAUGUUGACAACGUGACAUGAAAUGGCUAAGCUAACAACAUAAACAAGAGGAGCUAGGAAAGGAAGUUAUCUGCGUGUUU